This 332-nucleotide ribosomal RNA is filed under the name uncultured bacterium. RNAcentral's name for it is "partial 16S ribosomal RNA". It matches the Rfam family "Bacterial small subunit ribosomal RNA", at positions 338 to 668 of the family's 1533-position model. The record is from RNAcentral.
CCUACGGGUGGCUGCAGUGAGGAAUAUUGGUCAAUGGCCGGAAGGCUGAACCAGCCAAGCCGCGUGAAGGACGAAGGUGCCAAGCAUUGUAAACUUCUUUUGUCAAGGGACAAAAUCAGGCUCGAGAUCCUGACCUAGGGUACUUGAAGAAAAAGCAUCGGCUAACUCCGUGCCAGCAGCCUCGGUAAUACAGAGGAUGCGAGCGUGAUCCGGAUCUAUUGGGUUUAAAGGGUGCGUAGCCGGGCUGUUAAGUCAGCGGUAAAAGCCCGGUGCUCAACCCCGGCGAGCCGUUGAAACUGGCUGUCUUGAGAUGUCGAGAGGUAUGCGGAAUG